This is a long non-coding RNA of Astatotilapia calliptera (eastern happy), 2887 nucleotides long. Lineage: Eukaryota; Metazoa; Chordata; Actinopteri; Cichliformes; Cichlidae. The record is from Ensembl.
UCCAGUUCAGUGGUUUGGAUUAGCUGAGGCGACACCUGGCAGACAGCUAAUGUCCUGUGGUAACAUCCACCCGUUACAAAAAUGGGUCUAUUAUAGGUAUGUUACAAUGUACACGGUAUGAAGGUAUGUUAUGAAUAUGCAAUAACUAUAAGUAUGUACAGGCUGUAGUGGGUAUACAAGCUAUGUACAGGCUAUGAACAGGAUAUAAAUAUGAAACUAUACAGAAAUAUGCAAGUUAUAAACAGUUGUAGAAUUGUAAUUAUCGUAUUGUACAGAAUGAUUGUUUAUACAGAAUUAUACAGUAGUGCAGUUAAGAUAAGUGAAAUAUGUGGCUACUUUCUACAGAGGCUAUAUAAAGUGCUAGUGGUUGUGGGUGUGUGUAUUGUUACGUUUUGGUGUUGUCGGUGUGUUGCUUUUGGCGUGACUGUUAUGUUUCCUGUUUUACUUUGAAAGUCUGUGUUAUCUUAGUGUUUUCAGUUUACGUUUCCCUGUCUCGUCAGGUCUAAUUUGCCCCAGCUGUGUUUCCCUCCUGUGGUCCAUUCCCUGAUUGCCCCUUCUAUGUAUUUAAGCCUUGUGUUUCAGUGUGUCAUGGUCGCGAUCUUCCCCCCCGUUGUAAAUAGUUGGGUGUUUUGUUGUCAAGAAAUAGUUUGUUGUAAAUAGCUGUAAAUAGAUUUGUCGAUACUUUCGUUUUGGGAUUUUGGUGGUGAGCUUUAGUGGGGGUUUUUUUGUGUGUUUUUCUUUCUUUAUUUUUACUUUUUUCGUGUUGCACUCCGGUUGCCUAGGCCGGGGUGUAACAUAUGGGGGCUCGUCCGGGAUUGCCUUCACUGGGGGGUCCGGGGACCGCCCCAGCCUUUGUCGUCGCUGGAGGGUCCGUGGGACCGCUCCAGCCUUCAUCCGCCUUCGCUGGAGGGUCCGUGGGACCGCUCCAGCCUUCGUCGUCUGCUGGAGGGUCAGUGGGACCGCUCCAGCCUUCAUCAUCUUCGUCUGCCUUCGCUCCAGCCUUCGUUUGUCUUCGCUGGAGGAUCCGAGGGACCGCUCCAGCCUUCAUCCGCCUUCGCUGGAGGGUCCGAGGGACCGCUCCAGCCUUCGUCGUCUGCUGGAGGGUCAGUGGGACCGCUCCAGCCUUCAGCUUCGUCUGCCUUCGCUGAGGGGAGGGUCCGUGGGACCGCCCCAGCCUUUGUCGUCACUGGAGGGUCCGUGGGACCGCUCCAGCCUUCAUCCGCCUUCGCUGGAGGGUCCGUGGGACCGCUCCAGCCUUCGUCGUCUGCUGGAGGGUCAGUGGGACCGCUCCAGCCUUCAUCAGCUUCGUCUGCCUUCGCUGAGGGGAGGGUCCGUGGGACCGCCCCAGCCUUUGUCGUCACUGGAGGGUCCGUGGGACCGCUCCAGCCUUCAUCCGCCUUCGCUGGAGGGUCCGUGGGACCGCUCCAGCCUUCGUCGUCUGCUGGAGGGUCAGUGGGACCGCUCCAGCCUUCAUCGGCUUCGUCUGUCUGGAUCAAACUUUUCACUUGGUGUUAAAUGUUUGAUUUUUGGGUGGGGGGAACUGUUACGUUUUGGUGUUGUCGGUGUGUUGCUUUUGGCGUGACUGUUAUGUUUCCUGUUUUACUUUGAAAGUCUGUGUUAUCUUAGUGUUUUCAGUUUACGUUUCCCUGUCUCGUCAGGUCUAAUUUGCCCCAGCUGUGUUUCCCUCCUGUGGUCCAUUCCCUGAUUGCCCCUUCUAUGUAUUUAAGCCUUGUGUUUCAGUGUGUCAUGGUCGCGAUCUUCCCCCCCGUUGUAAAUAGUUGGGUGUUUUGUUGUCAAGAAAUAGUUUGUUGUAAAUAGCUGUAAAUAGAUUUGUCGAUACUUUCGUUUUGGGAUUUUGGUGGUGAGCUUUAGUGGGGGUUUUUUUGUGUGUUUUUCUUUCUUUAUUUUUACUUUUUUCGUGUUGCACUCCGGUUGCCUAGGCCGGGGUGUAACAGUAUGUUCAGUCCAUUAUUUUAACGUGGGUCAGAUGUCAGGAGGCAGAGUUCAGGAGUCUCUGUUUCUGUCCUCUAAGUUCAGUAUGUAGCCCACUGAAUUGUGUUACAUUAUUAUUAAACUUUUAUUAUUAUUAUUAUUAUUAUUAUUAUUAUUAUUUGGAUAUGAAAAAAUAAAAAUAAAUAUAAAAAAAAUCCUAAAUCAUAUAUAUGAAUAAUGUCUGAACCUCUUUGUGUUGACUAUCAUAUCAACUUUAUUUAUUUAUUUAUUUUUAUUUAGGCAAUAACACCUUUAAACAACUGAAGUUACGUUGAAACCAAGCACACCAUUGUUUUUCUUGUGACAUUACCAAUAAGUUUGAUGUGUCACAUGGCCCUCUUCCUAUUGGAAAAACAAAAGUUGUACCCAAGAUGGCCGACUUCUAAAUGGCCACCAUGGUCACCUCCCAUCUGGAGGAGUUUGCCCCCUCACAUAUACUAAUGUGCCGCAAACAGGACUUUAAUAUCACCAACCAUUCCCAUGUUAUUACGGUGUAUCCAUAUAAAUGGCCCACCCUGUAAGUCUAAUGUCUGUCCAAACUUUGCUUUAUCUCUGCUUUUGGUCUCUAUUAAGUCUUAAAGGCAAUAUGCUCACAUGCUCCACUACGGUCAACUGACCAGAUGAAAAUGUUUAACAUGUAGUGGGCAAUUAGUCUACAGUUUUAAAAAAAGUUUUACAGGAAAGUUUAACAGUUACCUUUUAUAUGUAAGAUGGUGCACCAUUAUAAAAAAAACACUGGAAUAAUAAUUUUCUUACAAUCCGGCAUUGCAAACAUAAGGAGUCGUACCUCCAACUGACAAACUCUUGAAAAGAAAAACAUGUACAAAAGAAGUAGCAACACUGUAAAUAAGGCCAACUGUCAGCAUUCUUCCUUAUGACAACAACACCACCUUCA